RNAcentral lists this long non-coding RNA (28878 nucleotides) under Carica papaya (papaya). RNAcentral describes it as "long non-coding RNA (CPAP_LNC012217)". The stretch from base 2736 to 3108 matches the Rfam family "Eukaryotic large subunit ribosomal RNA", at positions 1497 to 1884 of the family's 3401-position model. Lineage: Eukaryota; Viridiplantae; Streptophyta; Magnoliopsida; Brassicales; Caricaceae. The record is from RNAcentral.
UCUAUUUUUCAUGUUCUCGUCGAUCUUUUUCUCUAUGUGAUGGCUGGAUGCUUCAUCAAAUGAUGAAAAGCAAGUAGUUUCUCUCAAUUGCAAUAGAAGAUCGAUUUGAAUAGAUGAAACCACGCAUAAUGAAAAAUUGAAAACAGUGCUUAUCUUUGAAAAAGUUUCGCGAUCUCUGUGAAAAUGGAGAUUGGACGUCAGAAUGCUAAAAAAUUAUAGAGCAAGCUUACAAAGGACAAAAGAAAAACUAGUUUUCUAUUCCCUUUUUAUUCUCCAUUUUCUUUUUCUAGAAUUCUUGGAUAAUGUUGAUCCGGCUCAUGUAGGACAAAGACUGGGAUAAAAGGUUAUUGCUGGGUUCUAUUGUCUUAGUCAUAUAUUCUGAAGAAAAAUAACCUCUAGUAGCAUUGCAAGAACUUUAGUCUUGGUGUGGUACAUAAAAACUUUUUCUAAUUUUACUUUUUAAAUUUAUAUGUAUUUUGUUUACAAAAUCAUAAGAGUUUGUCAACAAUAAAAGGUACUACCGUGAAAAUGACAAUGAAAUUUAGAAUUUUUAAAAAGUUAUUUUUAAUGUUAGCUAGAAACUAUUUUAUUUGAGUUUUGGUUAUUACACAAAUAUGCAACUCUUACGUGCUUGUAUGAAUAAAAACAUACGUAGACACGUAAAAACUUAGAAAACAAGAAUUAGAAAAGGUAUCAUGUACCGAAUGGAGUUACCAAGGCUUAAAUUGUGUCAUCUAAAUCCUAGUCAUGAUACUCCCUGAUGAAACCUCAAAGAUUCUUGUAUAUAAAAUAUUGGUAUUAGGGAAUGAUGAAAUUAAUGGGUUUGUGACCUAUAUAUCUUGUUAUAUAUGUAUAUAUUGAUUUCAUCUCCUGUUUUAUGCUGUGGGGAAGAUUGAUCAAAUCCAUAAUGAUGGAAAUGCUGCUUAUGGAAUCUUUCAAGUUGAUGAUGCCUGAAGGUGCAUAUGCACAAAGCUGUUUUAUACAGUAAACAUCUCCCCUGGCCACAAAGUAGUUUUUCAGAAAAGUGUAAACAUUAGCUUGUACAGUUUAUCUCUGAAUUUGGAGGACUGAUGAAUGUCAUGAAUUGAGUUAAUUAGGAAAAAAGGAUGGAGAUGAAACUGCUCCACCAUUGGUAAUAACUCGAAUUGUUGCCAUUUUUCAGUGUCAUGUUUUAACAAUUCUUUUGUGUAAAAGUGAAAAAGAUUGUUUAGGCUGUAAUUGAUACAUGAAGUUAUUAUUUUUUUAAUUUUACUUUUUAAAUUUGAAUAUGUUUAUAAAUAAAAUAAUUAAAUAAUGAUAACAAUUUAAAAAUGAUUGUAGAAAUAAGAGAAUUUAAAAAAAAAAAACUGAAAAAAUUAUUUUUACUAUAUUUUUAAUUGAAGUUUAGAUCAUGGUUUUAUUUCUGAUCAAAUGUUGUCACAUAAUAAGAUAACUUAUAAAAGAUUUCUAAGUUUAAUAGUAUCGAGUUUUGUUUUAUGUUUUUCUCCUUUAAAUUUAAGUAAGAUUUAUUAAUGUUGUUAAUUAUAGAAUAAUUUGGUUAAUUAUAAAAAAAAAGUCCUUAAUCUUCUACUCCUUUUUUUAAUUUUUAGUUUAAUGGAAUGCUCAUGUUUUAAUUCGUUUCCAUUGCUUCAAUUAAAGUCUUUAAUUUCUUAUUUUUUAAAUCAGUAAUUUAGUUAAUAAAUAAAAUUUGAAUAUAUUAAUUAAUUGAUAAUUGUAUAAUUAAUUUUUAAUAUUAUAAUUUUUAUGUUAAUUAAUAUAUUUUAUUAAAAAAUUAUAUAGUUUUAAAGUGUCGAUGAACUUAAUUUCUGCAAGGAUAAAAAAGUUUUAAAUUUAAGCAUAGCUCUCUCCUCCAACGUCGAUAUGUCCGAGUGGUUAAAGAGACAGACUCGAAAUCUGUUGGGCUAUGCCUGCGCAGGUUCGAAUCCUGCUGUCGACGAUAUUUAUUUUUUGGUUAAUAAUUACUUUCUGAUUUCGGAUUCCAGAGAAGAGCCUUUAUUUCCUAAUUGUAAGUCUACCAUAAUACUAAUAAUAAUAAUAAUAUAAGAAUUUUGUGAAUGGCUGGAAAAAUACAAAAAGUAUUUAUUAUUUAUAUUAGAUUUCUAUUUCAUGCUACACACAUAUUAUAAAUUUAAAAAUUAAUUAAAUAAUAUAUAAAUUUUAAUUAAUGAAAAAUUAAAUUCUAAUUUUAUUUGAAAAUUUUAAAUAAAUAAUUAUUAUUUAUAUUAUCAAUUCUUUUUAUAUUUGAAAAGCAUAUAGUAUAUGAUUUGUGGUAAUUAAAAAUUAAAUUCUAUUUUUAUUUUAAAAAUUCGAAUAGAUAAAUAUUAUGUAUUAAUGUUAUUUUUUAAAAAUUAAAUGUGUAUUUUUAUGUAAAUAAAAAAUGUACAUUAUUUAAUGAACAAUGAAGACAUUUUAAUUGUACAAGUUAUGUUAAUAUUAUAAUUUUUGGAGCUACAAAUGAGAAAAUGUACUAACAAUUUUAUAGAAGUAUGGAAGCUUAACUUGAAAUGAGUAUGAUUUUUUAAAUAAACUAUUUUUUAAGCCUAAAGUGAAACAAAUAAUUGAAAAGAUUUUCAUUAUACACGCGCACACAUGAAAUAAAUUAAAAAUUAAGAAGAAAAAAAUAUUUGAAGAAAAAUAUAAAAUAUACAUGUUGUGUGUGAGUAUUAAAAUUGCUUAUAAGCUAAUUGACUUACUGAAUAUAUAAACGAAAAAAUAAAACAUAUAACAACUAUUGCUGAAAAGAGAUAAAUAGAAAAUAAUAAAACAUAUAUUAGAAUAACAAACUCAAUUAUUUAUGUCAAUACUCAAUAGAUGAACAAUAAAUAAAAAAUUAUCAUACGUUUUAAAUGAGAUUAUAAUAAAUAACGAUAAUAUUAGGAAAUUCGAAGACAUCAAUGGGGGUUUCAGGAAGAGUUACCUUUUCUGUUUAACAGUUUGUCCACCAUGAAAAUAGCUCAGUCGUAAAUAGGAUCAAGUGGUUGGAAGAACACUGCAUGUUGCGUAGUGUUCGAUGCACCUCCGGUGGCCCUUGAAAAUCCAGAAGACAGAGUGCCUUUCACAUCCAGUUGUACUCAUAACCGCAUUAUAUCUUCAAGAUGAACAAUCUUUGGUCGAUAGAAUAAUGUAGGCAACGGAAGUCAGCAAAAUGGAUCCGUAACCUCGUUAAAAGGAUUGACUCUCAAGAUUGGACAUAAGGUGUAGGUAACUAUAUAUUUGAUAAUAAAAAUGAGGUUUUAAUUUGUGUUUUUAAAUAUAUAUAUUAUUUAUUUAUUUAAUAUUUUUAAUUCUUAAUGAAAAAAAAAUUAAUUGGUUCAAAAAUUUUAAAUCGUAUUGAAUCAAAUAUUAUUUAGUAAAAUUUUCUAUUUAAGAUCCAACAAUGCUUAUCCCUAUUAAAAAUAUCAACAAAAUGUUUCUUCUAAAGCUGGUUAACCUAUUUGGACCAGGCAAUGCUCAUGAAAGCACUAUCAAGAAAAUUCUCUUUUAGCUGAGUAACGUAGUUGCAUAAAAGAUCCGUAGCUCUGAUAAUUUAGAUAAAAACCAUGGCCAGGUACAAUUAUUCAAACUGAGCCUUUCUCUCUCUUGCUUUCCAAUUGGCAUCUGGCAACGGGUUUCAUCUCUCUCCGCCACUCUCAUCUACCGUUCUUUCUGCUUUGAAGCCACUGAACCACCUCCAUAUCUGUAGCCUAUAGGUAUCGGUUCUUGUUUGUAUUGUUUUCAGUUUUGGAAGAUUGGAGACAUGGAUUUGAAACCCAGUUUCUCUGUUAAAUCCUCUCCAUCUUCCACUCCUGCUCUCUUCGGCACUCUGUGCCGACCCCGGGAAUUUGGGUGUCGAUCGAGUUCAAGAGUUUCCGCGUCUGUUUCAUCNNNNNNNNNNNNNNNNNNNNNNNNNNNNNNNNNNNNNNNNNNNNNNNNNNNNNNNNNNNNNNNNNNNNNNNNNNNNNNNNNNNNNNNNNNNNNNNNNNNNNNNNNNNNNNUUUUGCUUUAUGUAUUCUGUGGAGAAUCCUGCAUUCAGGAAGAAAUUAUCACCCCUCGAAGUGGCACAGCAUGGUCCUAGAUUCACAGGUGUUGGGGCUCAAAUUCUCGGUGCUUACGACAAGUAUAUAUGCCAAUACACUGAAGAGUCUCAGAAUUUCUGGGGAAGUAAGACUGUUCUACGAAUUAUCUUUGAGCUUUUCAUUUUCGGCUCUCAUAUAUGACAUAUUUAUGUACAUAUGUGUGGAUUUGUAUGCAUAUAACAUAUAUGUAUGUAUAUGCAUGUGCACGUAUUGCUAGCAAAUAUAUUAUAUCCUACAUAUUUUUUUUUUAAGUUUGUAAUAUAUCUAUGCGUGUAUAGUUACGUCUAUAUAUGUUUCUGUAAGUACAAAAACAGCGUAUAUAUUAAUCUAUGUAGGUGUACGGAUAUAAGUAUGUGUUUUCUAAGGGUGCAUUCACAUGUUUUUGAGAGCUGCAAUUGCCGCUUCCUCAUCUAGCUUACCCACAAAAUAUACCUCCUUCCAGCACAGAGUGAUAUGAUUGCGUUAGGUGUUGUCACUUCUUUAUUAGUUUCCGAAAAGAGUUACACUAACUUUUUAGGCCUCUUGUUAUUGAUGAAAUGUACAAGGAAUGUAUCUGCCAAGUUUCUGAAGCAAUGCAUUAAUCUUGAUCUGAGUUUUUGAAACUACUCCUUUUCCCCCUUCUUUGGUGUAACAUGACCUCUAAAUAACAUCGCCUCUGGUGCUCCUUGAAAUUAUAUAGCAUUUGACAAAUCGUUAAGAUGAUUCACAGGAUCAUCUGUCUCAUUGUAAUGGUUUGUUUGAUGCAAUUUAAAUUUUAAGGAGAUUGGCUCGCCCUUAGGGUUGACAGAAAAUGGAAAUUCUCCAUUGUACUCAAAGUAAUAGGGGUCAUUAUUGAGGAGCUUGACCUCAUUUCCUAAUGAAUCUCCACAAAAAUUUCUGCACUAAUCGUGGCAGUCUUGUUGGGGUUGUCCAAUUUUCUUUCCACCUCAUUAACCUCGUUUUUGGAAACUCCAAGGCUUCGCUAAACAACACUUCAUGUAUUUGUCUACUGAGCGUCACAGUCAAUUUGUUUCCUCCUGUUUUGGUUCCUAUUGACAUCUUCUGGCAUCUGGAAGUUAGUCAUCCUUUCUUCUAUGUACUUUUGUGUUGCUUAUGUAGUCGUAUGUAAUUCCAGAAAUGAAAACUAUGAGAUAUUUUAGUUUACCAAAUGGAGAAGUUUCUCUAUGUCAACACACUUUUUCUUGUCCUUCUCUUUUGACUAAGCUUUGGAACUUGGAUCUAGCUGAACCUGGUUUUUAAGAUAACCUUAAGAGGCUGGAAUAAGGCAGUUGUCUUUCUUGAAUUUAUGAAUUAAAAUGGUUUCUUAUUGCAACAAUUUUUUCUUAUUUUUAUCUUUCGAGAAACAAUAUUUUGUGGUCAAUUUUGAGUCAAUUAUUAUCAAUGCAAAUAAUUGUUGUGUUCAUUGGGUUUGAAUCAUUAGGAUAUCCAGUUUGGUGCUGUUUGUUAGAUCUUAUUGAUACCUUAGCUUCUUUUUUUUUUUUUUUGCUUCUCCAUGAAGGACCUGUGCAGGAUCUUUAGUCAACAUAGGAUGUAUAUCACUUCAUCUUGUUUGGUAAACCAUUUUAAUCUUGCUUCCCUUAUCCAGCAGUUCAUAUUGCUGCCAGGAUUUAUCCAGGAACUUCUGGACUCAACAUAAUGUCGUAAGAUAAUCAAUUUUAAAAUGAAAUAACACGAGUUUGUAGUUUGCUCUAAACUGCUCAUGAAAAAUUUCUUCUUUGUUUGUUAUUUGUUCUUUGUCUCUUUUACUAUCAUUCAAUGCUUGAUGUGUAAGUUCACCUGCCCUCCAUUCUGACUUACAUUUCAUCCAUGAAUAGGUAGGCAUGAACUCAUUCUAGGCAAUACUUUUACAGCCGUGGAAGGCUCACGGCCUCCGAAUAAGGAAGUUUCUCCACAGGUUCAUAUCUUAAUCUUCUCAUUGUAAAAUUUGUAUCUCAUAAUAUUUUUCUUGUAAAAAUUGAGAAUGUAAAAUGCAUAUAGAUGUGUAUUUUUUAUUCUGAGAAUGAUCAACUUUGCUUGCUUUUUAUUUGAUUUCCUCUGCCAUGUACUUGAAAAUUUUCCACUCAACUGCUGGACAGCUUUUUGAUGCUUAAAAGUCCACUUGAACAACUGUUGUAUUGAAUCUCUAUGAUCUGCUUGUCCAACAAAAUUUCAUCCUUAUUGCCCUUGUUUUUACUUAGGAGUUUAACAAACGAGUUUCGGAAGGUUUUCAAGUGACCCCACUUUGGCAUCAAGGUUUUAUUCGUGAUGAUGGCAGGUAACUUCCUGUUCUUAAUUUGUGGUUAUGAUUUUAAUAAAAGAGGCAUUUGUAAUAGAGAAGUUGGUUAAUAAGUGCAUACAUUGUGUUCUUCUUAUGCGAUAAGUUGGUCUAAAAGCAUAAACGAUGAGUUCUUCUUAUGCAACACAUGCAAUUAUAUAGAUACGUGAUGAAUAGUUGAUAAUAUGGUUAAAAAGCAUAUGUAAUUGAAUAAUUAUUAUUUCUCACACGCAAAUACAUACAUACACUGUUAUGGUCCCGAUUUAUGGAUCUUGUUAUGAGAUUCUGUUAAUAGUAUGGACUCGUUAAUAGAGAACUCAGUGAUCCCUUAAAGAUAAAGCACUUACGAAACUUUUUUGACAAAUUUUUCUGCAUUCCUCUAUUUCCGGAAUAGCAAGUGGCUUUUACACAAUAGGGAUGAGAAGCAGUUGUUCUGGUGGUUAUUCCCAGAGCAGUUACUGCUGCAAAUUCUUUCUAUUUUUCUUCUAUUAUCCUACCAUGCUAUUAUAUGAAUACUCACUUAAAUGUCUUAUUUAGUACACACAAAAUCCAGCACAUGAGAAGCAGUUAAUUUGGGUAGCUACUUCAGAGUUAAUUUGGCCAACUGCCCUCUGUUUUUCUCCCUUAUUUUCUCUUACUAAACACCCACAACACAAUUCCUAUAUAAUAAAAGUUACACGCUUUUGCUCACUGAUUUUUCCUUAUACUACACACACCUGAUUACAACACCAAAUACAUAACAACCACUUCCAAACAGCCACAUAAAAUAGUACCUGCACACUACACAGCCACAUAAAACAACACCUGCAUAUUACAUCAUUUUCUUUUCCUGCUUUGCCUUUUUCUUUCUUUAAUACACUCAAGGUGUUAUUUUGCCAUAAAUGUUCCUAAGACACACACACACACACACACACACACACACACACACACACACUCACACACAGACGUAUACAUCCUCUAGGGUCAUAUGGUUAGCUUGAGAGUUUGACUGGAAGCCUAUAAAGCCAUACAGGUAAGUAUUAGGGGUGUCCAACAUUUCACUUUUCAAGGUUCUAUGAUGUUUAAGAACUAUCAGGAACAUAAGUAGUCAAAUGCCAAGCCUAUUUGUUUCUUAAUUUCCCUUCUUGUUUGUUCAAUUUUCAAAAUUAGAAUAUCGUCAUAUAUUGUUCUGUUUUAAUCUUGCUUGUCUCAGUUAAUGAUCUAGUUUGUGAUUGUUUUGGUUUCUCAGUUCAAUAAACAUUAGUGUAGAAAAUGCUGUAAUAAAUUAGGUUCAGAGUGGAAUAUUCCUAGUAGGUGAGGUGUCAUUCUUCUAAAAGGUGAGAUGGCAUGAUAACAACAGAAAUCUGUUAUCACACCUUCCUCACAUUCCUGAAAAGAUGCCUCAUUUUUCUUCUAUAAAUGGCAUCCUUUGGUGCCUGAAAUUAAUAAGAGAAAAACAAGGGAGAAUUCCUUCACAAAAAUCUCCAUUCACAAAACUCUUCAUGGUAUCAGAGCUCUGAUAUGAGAGCUUCCUUCAGUUGAGCCAUAAUUCAAAUGGCCACAAGCGAGCUCAAUUCUUCUCCUUUCGAAGUCUCUUCGGGUCCCUACCUUCCCGCGACUCCGAACCACAGCCUAGUUGAGCAGGCAUCAUCGUUCAUCACGGGGCACAAACUGAACGGACAGAACUACCUUCAAUGGUCAACCUCUGUCUUACUGUUUAUUUGCUGCAAGGGCUGCAACGAUUACCUCACUAGUGAAACUAUCCCUCCUGAAACCAGCGACCCAAGUUUCCGCAUCUAGAAAAUAGAGAAUAGCAUGGUAAUUUCGUGGCUUAUUAAUUCAAUGGUGCCCGACAUUUGUGAGAACUUCAUGCUAUAUGAAACAGCAAAGGAAAUCUAGGAAGCGACUCGCGAAUCGUACUCCAGCAAAGAUAACGUCUUUGCAGUCUUCGAGGUGGAGUCGACUCUCCAUGAGCUGCGUCAGGAUGAGCUUUCUGUUACCCAGUAUUUUAAUUUACUAACUCGAAACUGGCAGCAACUGGAUACCUUCGAGAAGCAUCAAUGGAGUUGUCCAAAUGAUACUCGGACAUUCAGACUCUUUGUUGAGUAGAAAAGAAUCUUCAAAUUCUUGAUGGGGCUCAACAAAAGUCUGGAUGAGGUUCGUGGACGGGUGUUGGGAAUGAAACCACUACCUAGCAUCCGAGAAGUGUUCGCGGAAAUCCGGAGAGAAGAGGGCAGGAGGCGGGUGAUGAUAAGAGAAACUCAACCUAUCUCCUCUGCCGAAAGUGCCUCUGCACUCACCACACAGUCUGAUUCCUGUGGAAAGAAGAGAAGACCGUACUGUAAUCACUGCAGAAGACUCGGCCAUAUCCACGAGAAAUGCUGGAACUUGCACGAGAAACCCAGCGAGAAUAAGAUAGAAAGACAGAAAGCAAUGGAAACUGUCAAGGAAAUAUUGCUGCUUCCACUGUUGAAGAAAAUGUUGCAGAAAGCAGUCCGUUCAAUGCUGCACAAAUGGAGGUCCUUCAAUAAUUAUUCAAGCAGAAUUGUUUACCUACUCAGCCCGUGCAUGCUUCGGUGGCACAAAAAGGUAAAACAACAAUUAGUUUGACAGCAUGUUCUUUAGAACAGGACACAUGGGUGGUUGAUUCUGGAGCAUUAGACCAUAUGACGGGUAAUAUAUCCCUAUUUCAGAAUUAUAAAACAUCAGAUGAGGAUUUUACAAUUAAAAUUGCAGACUGGUCAAUCUCUAGAGUGGCUGGAACUGGUUCUAUUGUUUUAACACCGCAGUUGACCCUUCAUUCAGUACUUUAUAUACAAAAAUUGGACUGUAAUUUACUAUCGGUUAGCAAACUUUUUGAUAAUUUAAAUUGUAUUGCUAAGUUUGGUUCAAAAAUGUGUGAAUUUUAGGACUUGAAAUCGGGGAGGACGAUUGGCAUUGCUAGGAUGCACUCAGGCUUGUAUCUCCUUCAAACAGACCCUUCUGGAAGACAAGCUCAAACGACAGUAUGUACAAACUCUGUUCCUGAUAGUCAAUCAAAUAAUGAUCAUGAUAUCAUAUUAUGACAUUAUCGCUUAGGUCAUCCAAACUUUUUGUAUUUACAAAAGAUGUUUUCUUUAUUGUUCAAGAAUAAAAAUCCACUUUUGUUUCAAUAUGAAGUAUGUUAGAUCUCUAAACAUAGUCGAAACUCUUUUGCAAGUUUGCCAUAUAAGCCUUCCAAACUGUUUGCAUUAAUUCACAGUAAUGUUUGGGGACCUUUCAGGGUUACCAAUAUAUUCGAAAAUAAGUGGUUUGUAUUCUUUAUUGAUGAUGACACUAGAAUCACUUGGGUCUUCUUAAUGAAAGAAAAAUCCGAAAUAGGAGCCAUUUUCAAAAAAUUUAAUGCUAUGAUCCAAAGCCAGUUUCAUACCACUAUAUAGGUACUUAAAACUGAUAAUACCUGUGAAUAUUUUGAAACCACUCUUAGGAAAUACUUAUAAGAAAAUGACAUUAUUCACCAAAGUUCUUAUGUAUACAUUUCUCAGUAAAAUGGCAUAGCCGAACAAAAAAACAGACAUAUUCUUGAAGUCACCAGAUCCAUUAUGUUCACUGCCCAUGUUCCUAAGUUUCUUUGAGGAGAGAAAAUAUUCACUGCGACUUAUCUGAUAAACCAAAUGCCUUCCCGUAUUUUGCAUUUUCAAACACCCUAUGAUCUUCUCUCUCAGAACUUUCCUGAUUCACAUAUCUGACACUCACUGCCACUUAAAGUUUUCGGGUGAUCUUCCUUCAUUCAUAUCCACUCACAUCUUCGGGGAAAACUUGACCCAAGAGCUCUUAAGUGUAUCUUUGUUGGAUACUCGUCAAAUCAAAAAGGAUACAAAUGUUUUUUUUCGGAUACAUGACAAUUUUAUAAUACAAUAGAUGUCACUUUUCUUGAGAAUCAACCUUUUUAUCCCACUAUUGAUAUUCGGGGGGAGCAUUCUACUUAGGAAUAUCAAGUGUGGGAUGUUAGUAUCCCUUCCAUCUACCCACAAAAUUCACCUCCUCUAGAGCCUAAUUCGGAACCAGAACUUGUAGCAGAAAUUGAGUGUAUACUAUUUGCAGUAAAUGAGCUAUGUGUCUAUACUAGAAGGAACAUAGUUCGAUGGGGAACAAGUACUGAAACCAACCAGAACUUGCCAUGAAUCCGUACCCACUCCAGUGGUUAAAGAAUCAAUAGGUAAUGAGGUACGUGUUACUGACUCUGCUACUGAUAUUGACUUACCUAUUGCUGUGAGAAAAGGUACCAGAUUAUGCACAAAAUAUCCCAUACAAGAUUAUGUAUCAUUCGGCAAUCUAUCUCUGAAACAUCAAGCAUUUGUGAGUAAAAUAGACAGCAGUUCUCCAGAACCGAAAACAAUCCAUGAAACUCUUCAAAUACCAGAGUGGAGUACAACUAUUCAAGAAGAGAUUAGUGUUCUUAAAAAAAAUGGGACAUGGGAAUUGUCUCAGUUACCUCGAGGCAAAUGACCAGUUGGAUGUAAAUGGAUAUUCACGACCAAGUACAACCCAGAUGGGAGUGUAAAUCGACUCAAAGCACGCCUUGUGACCAAGGGUUUUACUCAGUCCUAUGGUAUAGACUAUCAAGAGACCUUUGCUCCAGUCGCCAAGCACAACACAAUACGGGUACUACUCUCUCUUGCAUCAAAUCUUGAUUGACCCCUUUGUCAGCUAGAUGUAAAAAAUGUAUUUUUGACUGGUGAUAUAGAAGAAGAAGUAUACAUAGAUAGCCCACUAGGUUUAGAUGCAGAAGAUCAAUCUCACAAGGUUUGCAAACUCAAGAAAUCGUUGUAUGGACUCAAGCAAUCCCCAAGAGCUUGAUUUGACAGAUUUACAAGGGCUGUAAAACAUAUUGGGUAUGAGCAGUGUCAAUCAGAUCACACUUUAUUUGUCAAACACUGUAUCUCAGGUAAGAGAUCAAUUCUAAUUGUGUAUGUAGAUGAUAUUAUCCUCAAAGGAGAUCAUAUUGAGAAAAUUCAAAGAUUUAAAGAUUUUCUAGCCAAGAAAUUCGAAAUUAAAGAUAUUGGAAUUCUUAAGUACUUCCUAGGUAUGGAAAUGGCCUAGUUUAUGAAAGAAAUUUUCGUAUCACAACGGAAAUAUGUCCUGGAUCUUUUGAAGGAAACAUGUAUGCUUGGUUGUAAACCUGCAGAUACACCUAUGGAUUCAACAAUGAAAUUGGGAUCUACAGAAUGUGAGAAGACUGUUGACAAAGAGAGGUAUCAAAAGCUGGUCGGGAAACUAAUAUAUUUGGCAUACACAAGAUCAUGCAUCAGUUUUGCAGCCAGUACAGUAAGUCAAUUCAUGAAUCAAUCGUCAGAAAUACAUAUGAAGGUCAUGUACAGAAUUUUGAAGUACCUAAAAAGGACAUCGGGGUAAGGGCUAAUUUUCCAAAAGAAAAUAAAUAGGGAUAUUGAAGUCUUUAAUGAUGCUGAUUGGGCAGGAUCAAUAACCGACAGGAGAUCCACUUCUGGUUAUUGCACAUACGUGUGGGGAAAUCUGGUCACAUGGCGCAGCAAGAAGUAGUCGGUAGUAUCCCGUAGCAGCGCAGAAUCUGAAUUUCGAGCACUUGUACAUGAAAUUUGUGAACGGAUGUGGUUGAGAAGAAUACUACUAGAAUUAAUAACAUUUACUGAUACUUCUAUGAAAGUGUGGUGUGACAAUUAAUUAACAAUCAGCAUGGUAAAAAACCCAGUAUACCAUGACAGGAUCAAACAUGCCGAGAUAGAUCAACAUUUCAUAAAAAAAAAAUUGAAGAUGGAACCAUAGCUCUUAUGCACAUCCUUUCAAAUCAACAAGUUGCUGACAUCCUAAUGAAGGCACUACCAAAACAAAUAUUUGAUAAUAUUGUAUCCAAUCUAAGUUUACUCAAUAUAUAUAUGUAAACUAGAUUGAGAGAGAGUGUAGAAAAUGCUAUAAUAAAUUAGGUUCAGAGUGGAAUAUUCCUAGUUGGUGAGGUGUCAUUCUUCUAGAAGGUGAGGUGGCAUGUGAACAACAAAAAUCUGUUAUCACACCUUCCUCACAUUCCUAAAAAGAUGCAUCAUUUUUCCUCUAUAAAUGGCACCCUUUGGUGCCUGAAAUUAAUAAGAGAAAAACAAGGGAGAAUUCCUUCACAAAAAUCUCCAUUCACAAAACUCUUCAAUUAAAACAGAAGAAAAUUAUACAAUAUUUCAAAUUUAAUCUGAUUGAUUGUAUAUUGACAUUUUCUGUAAGUGUAUUGUGAAAUGAUUAACUUCUAUUUGCAGGUCAAAUUAUGUGGAAACUAUGAAAUCUGCUCGGUGGGAGUACAGUACCCGUCCCAUCUAUGGAUGGGGUGAUGUGGGGUCUAAGCAGAAGUCUACGGCUGGCUGGCUUGCUGCUUUUCCUGUAUUUGAACCACAUUGGCAAAUAUGCAUGGCUGGAGGACUUUCAACUGGUACUUUAGCAAGCCUCUUUUUUUCAUGGAGACAAAAAACCUAUUAGAUAGAAUUUCCAGAAGAGGGGUCCUCUAAAACAAAAAAGAAAAUAGAAAAAGAGAAAUGGCAUAAAUAAAAUUCCAUAUAUACAAUUGGUGAUCAGCAAUAUAGUGAAAGCAAUAUCUUUAAUUCAACCUUACCCCAAGGAUUAUUGAGUUGUGGCUCGUAUCAAGAUAAUGUACUGAUCACAAAUAGAUUCCCACCAAAGAACUGGGUACAUGGAAUCAUAGGGUUUUUGAUGGGAUUGAAAACGAGAUUGGAAAGAUUAGGGAUAGAUGGUUCCAUUUUUUUUGUUCCUUAAUUAUUGGGCAUGACUUGUAUAGGGUGGAUGAUUUUGGGUAUAUAAUAGAUUGCCUAACAAAUAUGUAAUACUUUUGUACAUGGGCUGCACCCCCUUGGUGCUUUAUUAAUAUAUUUAUACUUUUUAUUUAAAAAACAAGGAACUGGGUACAUGGUACAACUCCUUUGGGUGUAAGGCAGUUUUUUUAGUAUUCAGGGUAAUUCUUCUGAAGUUCAAAUAUAUAUAUAUAUAUAUAUAUAUAUAUAUAUAUACAUACACACACACAUAUGAAAACACUAUUUCUGGUCCUGUUGGGAAGGAAUUGAGGGUUGAAUCAGUGAUUGAUGUUUAUGGUGAUGGAUGAUCAGGGGCAGGGAGAGGCUGUCAUUCUAUUUCUCUGGUGAGUUCUAACCAGUUGGAGGUGUCAGAAUGGUUUCUGAAGAAGGUUGAUAAGGUUCUGAAGCUUUUGGGAGCUGACAUUACUAGUGUCAAGUUAUUGAAGCUCGCAAGUUGGCUUUUAAAUUUGCAGACAAUCAGGACACAAGUGAGGACACCUAGACGGAUUACGUCAAAAAAAUUAAGAAAACUGGAUUUUCUGAUUACUUAUGAUAAGGUGAGGAAGGAGCACAACAGUGGUGAGGGUCUAACCAGUGUCUCCAUUAUGUCUAUGUCAUGUUAGGAUUAUUUCUUGAGAUGUGAGGAUGCUAAUAAUUUGGGCAAAAGAGCUGUUAUUCAAAAUGUCUUGUGAAUGUAGUUGAGGAUGAUGUGUCUCUAGGAAAUGAAAACAGAGCUGUUGAAUGACUUGUGAUCAUAGUCUGUGCAGGGAGCCGAUUUGGACUAAAAGCAAAGCCAACUCCUGUGUCUUUUGGGAAUUCUGAUUAUGUGUAAAGAAAGUGGUUUGGAUCCCAUGGAUUAGCAGAUCUUCUAGUCUGUCUUGGAUUUUUUCAGAGUUUACAAGAAGGAUGAAGGCAGCGAGAGGAGGCUUCUUAUUGAUAAGCUCUCAACACCAAUAAGAUAAGAAACAAUUCCGUACUCCUUUAUUGAUGAACUCUUAGAAGAACUAAAUGGAGCAAAAUUCUUCACGUUUGAUCCAAUCCUCAAAUUCGAUUAGACCUGAGGGAUAUUAGAAGUCUGUCUUUUGGACUCAAUGUAGCUGCUUCUAGUUAUUGGUAAAUGCCAUCUGGGCUAACUAAUGCCCCACCACUUUUUUAGUCCUUAAUAAACUUAGGCAUCCAGUAUAUGUCUUAUAUCGUGCUUUUUGGAGACAUUAAUUUAUAAUUGAUCUUUGUUCGGUAUCUCUAUCAUUUACUAACUGUUUUUUUCCAAAAUACAAUCUGAUCAUUUCUUCCUCAAGAGAUCCAAGUGCUCUUUCCUCAUCUACUAUUCCUCAAGAGAUCCAAGUGCCUCUUUGCUCAGCCACAGGUCUCUUACCUAUGGCACAUCAUCUCAGUGCACAGGGUUGCAGUGGAGGAUUUGAAAAGGACGAAGAGACAAUUGGCCAAGACCAUCUACUUGUUAGACACUGAGGGGUUUUCUCAGUCAUUGGGUAUUAAAGGAAGUUUUCUGGGACAAUGGUGUAAUUGUGGGUCCACUAGUAGUCCUAGGGUCCAUGGUGUGAUUGGAGGUCCAUGAUAGCCAUGUUGAGAAUUUCCUUUUUUGCUUGGGUUGCAGAAGCCGCCAUAAUUAUUGGACACCUGAAACACUUAAGUCCAACACCCUGUCUAGGCCUUCCUGGUUAUUUUUCCUUGGUGAAAUUUGAUGUCUCAGGUCAUAUAAUCUACCCCAACUGGUGGCCUACAGCUGCACCUUACUGUUUUUCUUCAGGGACUGCCGACUGACAAGAAGAGCUAAUUGACCUUGCUAAGGUUGUCUGCUCCUAGCGCCCAUCCUGGGAGCAAGUUUUUUGUGGUCAGCACAAAUCAUUUUAGUCCAGGUAUAAGCGAAUUAAUCGGCUAUGAGUUCUAUGUGGAAUACAGAGCAUGCUGUGAAAAGAAAGUUGUGGAUUCGCUUUCAUGACAGCAUGAAGACCAAGGCUUACUCAUGGCCAUCUCCAUGUGGCAAUUAGAAUACUUUCUUCCACUGGAACUGGAAAAUUUUAUUGGCAAGGAUUAGUCGAGCGAGCUUUCAACACUUGUUCUUCGCUGAGAACAUUCUCUUCUUCAAGAAUCAAGUAUUCCUCUCUUUACUCCCCUCAAUUCUAGUUAUCUUGCUUGCUACUUGUAAUAUAGUGCAUUGAGGGUAACAACAGAGCCGCAAGAGAGUAACAGGUGACUUUUACUGGAAAAGGGCAUAAAGGGCCAGUCUAGGAAUUUGUUUGUGCUCGUCCCAUGUGCCAAUGCCGAAAGAUGAAACAAACUUUAGCUUGCGAUGCCAGGACGCGCUUAGUCUGACAUUUCAAUGGAUCUCAUUGAGGGUUUGCCCUUCUUUUAUGGUAAGACAUUUCUUAUUGGUGGUGGUUGAAUUCUCACCCCUUUAGAGGGACCUAUUUGUAAACAUUGAAUUUUUUUUAAUAUGAGCCAUAACUCAACAAAAAGAUCCAAUAAAACACUAAAACAUCCUACCCUAGGGCCUCUAGGCCACAUUAUAAUGCAAAAAAGAGAUGACUAAGGGACUUAGUAUUCAAUACCUGCAGGGAAAGGUAUGAUUAGCCUUGUGAACUUGAAGGACAUAAUUUGUAUUGAUCCUGUUAAGAACACCUGUCAGGACAAAAAUCUUUACCUUUGUAGGAGCUGAACAUUCCAAAAAAUUUUGAUAAAUUUCACUGUCCUUAUUGGAAAGAUUGUGGGUUAAAUAGGUAAUGUAAGGACUUGCAAUUGGAAAUACCAACGAAUUCAAAAACCAAACUCCCAUGCAAGGUCUAGAAGAAAUGAUGAUAGGCUUAAGUAGAUGAAGCAAGGAAAUUAAAUAAAUAGUUUCCCAGUCAUUUAAAAUUUCAACAAGAAUAGGUUCCAAGAUAUCCCACUUUCCAAAUUGGCAAUGAAACUGGAUAUAGGAGGGUUGUGAUGAAGGGAUAAUUAGUAUAGCUGUGGAAAGUGGUAGUUUGCUUCUACAUUGCUUUACGUAUCUCUCUUUUGUUUCUUUACAUGGGAACCUUGAGGGGAUAAACCUCAAAGUAGCUGGUGACACUUUAAAGUAGUGGUUUGCCUUGUGGGGAGAGCUACAACCAAUGAGAUAGUAGCUUUUUAAUUACAUAUGCAUCUUAAGUUUUGCAUAGAAAUGAACCCUUUACUAUAACCUUCUAUGAACCAAAUUUUACUUGAAUGGUGCAAGAGGUGAUACUAUUUUCUAUCAUCCAGGUUACAACAGUGUUUUUGACGACACAUUGGCCUAAACCAAGUAAAGCCUGAUACAGGCUGGAAAUAUAAUCCUACACAAUCUGUCAGACACAGUUGGAAGCUAUAUGUUUCAAAACUAAGGGGAGCUAACUAAAUUUGAGUCAAAAUGCAACUCAAUCUCUAUAAUUUGUGUCUAUAGGCACUUAGUUGUAUCAUGAUAUUGGGGUAGAGCAUGUGGAUGUGAAUUGGUAAAUGUCAUAUACCGUCCUUGGAUUUGAACAAAAUCUUUGAAUUCUGUUUCUUACACUUUCCAUGCACUCAGGACAGUAUUCACUCAGGCAGACUUUGAUUGCAGGUUGGAUAGAGUGGGGUGAUGAAAGGUUUGAGUUUAAAGAUGCCCCAUCUUACUCAGAAAAGAACUGGGGUGGAGCCUUCCCUAGAAAAUGGUUUUGGGUAUUAGCUUCUCUUUCUCUUUCUAUGACUAAGAAUUUAUCAUUUGCAUUAUCCAUGCUUGCUUUUCUACGGUGUGAGUUUGUUUACCAAAUGGUAAAAGUAUGCACAUAAAGAUCUUGGUAAUGAAUCCAUGACCAGUUAUGUCUCUUUGCCCAAUUGUGACCGGGACUGCAUUAUAAGCAUCUAUAUGUUAGAUUUUAAUUUUAUAACAUUUAGGAUUGGUAACAUCAUAGUGUUAUUACAUAUGUACUUAAUAUCUUCAGGUUGUAAUGUGUCUGCUCUUUAUUAAUUUAUUUAAAUCACAGGUUCAAUGUAAUGUCUUUGAAGGUGCAACUGGGGAAGUUGCUUUGACUGCAGCUGGUGGGUUGAGGCAAUUGCCUGGACUGAAUGAAACCUUUGAAACUGCUGCACUGGUACCUCCUUACAACAAUUUCUGCACUCUGCUUUUUCCUAAUAUUUCAUGUUCUUGAGAUGCAAAUAGAUUAUGGAAGUGGUUAAGAUGGAAUUAAAGGUCAAAGAUAGGAAAAUGUGAGACCCAUAUGUGGGUUUAAUGGCGAGAAACUGAAUUUGUGAAGUAGCUUUUUGUUUAUGGAUGGUGAAAAUUAAGUAAUUAACCAUUAUGCUGUCUGUAUGAUUACCAUAUUAAACAGCUACGUUGGUGUGGAUUCUUCUCUUACUCUAAUAUAUACAGAUUACUCUAUUGAAGAUAUUUUACCUGACUUAUGUUUAAUGUUGAUGUAUUGCUAAGUUUUUUUAAGCGAAUCCCUAAAUAUAGGGUUAAAUAUAGUUACCAUUUCAAAAAUGAUGAAGCAAAAGAACUGAAAGAGUCACUUCCUUGUAAAAUGUAAUUCUAUAAUAUUUAUGUAAUUUUAGCAUUUUCUUGUUUUUCUUUUUCUGUUAUACAGAAUAUGUAGGACAUAUUAGCGAGGUUUAGGGGUUAUUUUGGUUAUAUCUUUUUGUUUAUUUUUCUUCUUUGGAUGAAGUAGCAUCUUGUAUCUCUUGUCUUAUAGAUCCUUUCAGGUGCUAGACUUUUGAUGGCAAGGCCAACUGGCUAAAUUAUGUCAUCUUUUAUUGGUCCAUAGAUUAUGGCAACUCCCUAGUGGCCAACUUGUCUCACUUUUGAUUGGUUCAAAAGUGGUGUAACUCUUUAUGGAAUUAACUAGUUCUCAAGUUGCCAUUGGUUCUUUUUGCCACCCAUUUUUACUAUCUAGGAUAUUUGAUGUAAUACAAAAAUGAAGAUGAUGAUUAUGUUAUUUUGGAAAUGACUUUGAAGCAUAUUUCUCGUGAAAAUUCAACUCUAUUCUUUUCUGACGUUUUCUUCAUUUCUCCCUUAAGUCUCUCUUCCCCUCCUAGUCUCCUCUUUUUCUACCUUGAGAUUUCAUUAAACAGUGCUCUUCAAUAUCUUCUUUGUUAGUAGCUAUAAUUGUUAGGUGUCUAAAUCAGAAAUAGUUUAACACAAUGAUAUACGCACCUAUAUAAGUUCAGUCUCUCGAAUUAGCCACUCUUUUCUCAUAUUUUGGGAUGGGCUGGUACAGAUUGGAGUCCAUUAUGGUGGUCGUUUCUAUGAGUUUGUGCCAUGGAAUGCGGAAUUAAGUUUCGAAAUGGCUCCAUGGGGUUUUUGGCAUAUGACUGCAGAAAAAGAGACUCAUCUGGUAAUUUGCAUCUUUUAGUUAUGUUUUCUUUCUUGAGGCAGUAGCCUAGUUUAGGAUUAAAGUUUAGUUUUUAAAAGGGAAAUUUAUUAAAUUGUCUACUCAACUUAGGAGUUUGACCAUAUAUUUUUUGAGCCGUUUUUUUAAAGUAUUUUCUUUAAAAUUAAUUGAUGGAAUUUUCUGUUUUGAGACAGGUUGAACUGGAGGCAAGGACAACAGAUCCCGGUACACCAUUGCGUGCCCCAACUUCUGAAGCUGGCCUUGCUCCAGCCUGUAAAGAUACUUGCUUUGGUGAGUUGAGACUGCAAAUGUGGGAAAGAAAAUCGGAUGGCAGUAAGGGAAAGGUACGUUCUAUGAGCAAGGGAGAUUUCAUCUUAAAUAGGAGUAGGAAACAAUUUUUUUAUAAGAAUUUUUUUUUGGUUUCUAUUUUCCUAAAUUCAUGUAGUUUUAUACAUAAAGAAUUUAUAUGGUGAUAUGUGUGUACAAGAAGAUAAUAGUAAUUCUUAAAAAAUAUUAAAAAUAACUUUUCAAAAUUCUUUUUCGAACUCCAUAUAUUUUUAUUAUCAUUUUCCAAACUGCAUGUUUAUUUUCAAUUGUCAUGCAUGUUUUCAUAAAUAACAGAUAAUUAUUUUAUAACACAAAAAUCAGGAAAUAUUUUCAAGUACCAAGCAAAAGUCAUUUUUUUAAUGAUUCGUUCAAUGCAAGUUAAGUUUAAAUUGCUUAAGUAUUGAACUGUUGCAUCAAAUGAAAUGGCUAUUAACUAGUUAUUACACAAGAAUCAUUCAUGACUUCAAUUUCAGCACUUAUCGGUAUCCUCGGUCUUGUUAUUGCUCGGUUAUAUCUAUUUUAAAUAUGGAGUGCAUGUACUCUAUCUUUAUGGACUUCAGCUCCACUUGCAGCAUUAUCUUUUGGUUUCUCAGCUUGCUCUUGAUUGUUUCAUAUGAUCGUGCAGAUCUCUCGGUUUAAAUCUUUAAUGUGUCUUUAGUCCUAUUAUAGUUUUAAUAUAAAAUAGUUAUUACCCAUUUAAGCAUAUGAACUGUUGAACAUGUAGGUAAUUUUGGAUGUUACAAGUGAUAUGGCUGCGGUAGAAAUUGGAGGUGGUCCAUGGUUAACCACUUGGAAAGGGAAGACAAAUACACCAGAGCUGGUAAAAAGUGCACUCAAGGCCCCUGUUGAUGUGGAAACAGUUUUGGGUUUGGUCCCAUUUUUGAAGCCUCCUGGUCUAUAGUAAGCUCAUUAGAUACGUAAACACACACACAUACACACACGAGUUCACGGUUUGUGAACCAAGAUCAAAGCAUGCACAAGUUCCAAGGCAUGAUGGUUUCGAUUGAAGCAUGAACAGGCUUGGUGGCAGGAUGAUUUGUGCACAGACAUUUGAAUAUUUUUAUGAAGAAAAUGUGUGUAUAGUUGUUUCUAGAUUUGAUCUCUAAUAUAUACAUUUUUAUUAUAUUUGGUCUAUAAUUUUAUUUAUUUCGAAUGUUUAGUUUAUUUUUAUUUUUUAGCAAAAAAAAAAAUGUUAAAACAUGUAGAAUAUGUUUUGAUGUUUUAAAAAACAGUUCAAAAAAUAACUUUAACUAAUUAAUUAAAUUAAUAGAUGAAUAAAUUAUUAAUAAUUUUAGAUUUAUUUUUUUUUAUUAUUAAUAUAUUAAUUUACUUAUUUAAUUAAAUUUAUUUUUUAAAUAUUUAAAUAUAAUUUAAUUAUUUCAUUUUUUGCUUGUUUAAAAUAAAUUGAAGACAUUAGAAAUUAAAUUAUAACUAAAAUAAUAUUAGAAUUUAAAUUAUAUCAACUGUCAAAAUUUAAAAAUUAAUUAGUAAUUUACUGAAGAUAGUAACCUUCUCUUUGCCAUUUUCUAAAAUUAAAACCAGAACAUAGCUACAGAGUAUAACCGCCAUCAGCCAUCCAAUAAAAAUGAAUCUGAGCAGUGUACAAAAUACAUAUACAUGUAUAGACACAGACAUAUAUAACAUAAUUGAUAAAAGAAGAGAGAAUCAUGAGAUCCCUCUCCACUGAAUCGUUGUACCAUACAUUCCAAAAAUUAAUGAAAGUGUUAUUUUUAUGGGGCACGUGUGGGACAUUUGAGUUUCUGGUAGUGAACUUUGGGUUAUGAUAAAUUAGCCAAUGGAUAUAAUAUUUGCUACUUUAAUCAUUAGGUUGAAUGAUGAACUGGUAAUGGUGACAGAAGAAAAACCUUGUAAUCAUGAAACCCGCCGCUCCUGAAAUCCCAUUUCCUUCUCUUUUAUGCAUGAAAGAAAUAUGUAAAUCAACCCACAUGCAUUCUUUCUUUCAUCCCCUUCACAUUAUUCUUCUUCCAGUAAAGAACUAUGUAAAUCACCCUCUGUUAAAUACUCACUGUUUCUUCUUCCCACUUCAGCUUUGGUGAUCUUUUGAUUCCACUUUCUCUGUUGCAACCAGAAAAACCCUAAAAAUAGAAGAAUCUUGGCUCGGCCAAAUUAAGUAGGAGUUGAGUGGAACAGUAAGCUCUUCAUUAUGAUGAUUAAUUAAACUUCAUUUUCCAAAGUAGUAAAAAGAAAAUAAUUGCUUUUGUUGGCUGCUUGUUGUGAUAGUGAGCUCAUGCAAUGCAAGGAGCACAGUGCAGAGGCUGGAGAACAUAGAUGAAAAUGGCCCUGCGAGUUGGAGUAAGUCAGAGUUUUGUGCAGCACCUGAAACCCCAGUUGAGCCCAUGGAGUUUCUUGCAAGAUCUUGGAGCCUCUCAGCUGUGGAGCUCUCUAAAGCUCUUUCAAAUUCCCACGUUUCUGAUCCCAAAAACCUUGACAUUGGGGCAGGGGAUGCCAGCUCCAUGGCUUCAAGAGAAUCUGUAAGAUCCAUAUAUACUUGAUUUUUACUUAAUUCAAAGAUCAUAUAGAAAAAUUUGUUAGUAACAAGAGAGAGAUUCAAUUAUAACAAAUAGUUGCUUCGCUUUUACAGCUGCUUCAGCAGUUAACUACUGGGAGUAACCAUGCAAUCUCUCUGAGGGAUAGUGAAGAAAUGAAGGUAAAUUCCCCCUGUUCUAUUUUGUUUCCAUCCAUGAAUUUCCCUCGUUCUAACAUUAAUUGGAAAAAAUUCUAUUUUGGCAUGUGUAUCUUCCUUAAGUUAAAAUUAAAACACUCAGUAAAUAUAAAAUAAUAAUUACUCUGAUUACAUUAUCACUAUUAAUUCCAUCAACUGUAUAAUCCGGCAGGAAUUACUUUUACUACAUCAAGCACUUAAUCCAGAACUCCUUCCCAAUCAGCAACUGCUCAAAAAUGGGGUAACUAAGUCCAAAAACCUCAUCUCAAUCAUCAAGUAUUUGUUAAAGUUACAACACUAGCCAACACAUAAUCUUUAUUUGACCAAGUUUAUUAUCUAAUAAGUCAUUCACUAUUUUAUCUAGUUCUAAACAUUCGGUUUUGGUUUUCUAUUUUUUAGAGAUUUGUUGAAGAACCGUUAGCGAAUGAGUUAGUGACAGAGAAUAAGGUAACAUGACUGAUUAAUAGAAAAAUUAGUGGCAAAAAACAUGACUUGGUUAGUAGAUAAGUUAAUGGCGGAGAAUAAGAAAACAUGUUUUGGGGGUGGAGAAAUUAGUGAUAGAAAGUAAAUGAACAUAACUUUUGUUUACAUUGAUUGUAUACCUAUAUAAGACAGUUAUCUGCAUUAAAUGAAUUCAUUCCUUUGUUACUUCACUUUUUAUUUUAUAAUAUAUCUUUCACUGAGUGUAUUUCCUUUUUCCUCUCUGUAAUAUAUAUUUUGUUGUAAUUCUUUUGUUGUGUUUCUCAACAGUAUUGUAACUGCUGCAGCAUCGUUUCCUUUCUUACUGCUCUGCAGCUCUACAGGAGCAUACUGGGAGGGAGAACAAAGGGGAGAUCUCUGAAGGAUCAGAAGGAAAAGAAGAAGCAGGAGAUGAGAGCUCACAAUGCCCAAUUGCUUGCAGCUGUAUCUGUGGCUGGGGUUGCUGCAGCAGUUGCAGCACUUGCUGCCUCAAAUGCAAUGUCAGCAGAAAUGACAGCUUCCCACCAGAAGACACUUUCCAAAAUGCCAACUGCAAUUGCAUCUGCUACAGCGCUUGUAGCAUCUCAUUGCAUUGAGAUUGCAGAGGAUAUGGGAGCUGAUCAUCAUCAGAUCUUAAAAGUUGUCAACUCUGCAAUCAAUGCAAGAACUAGUGGAGAUAUCAUGACCCUAACAACUGGAACAACAACAGGUAAUGAGCACUUGCAACAGUUAUAAAUUCUGUCGAUCCAAAUGUUAUGCAAGUAGGUAAAUUAAGUGAACAGAGAGUGAAGUAGGAAAAAUAAAUGACGAGAAAAAUAUACGUAGUUCAGCAAAUUAUGCCUAGUUCUAUAGGAAUAGGAGGGAUGAAUCUUGAAUUCGUUAUAGAAGAACUCUGAAGAUUAUAGAUGCAAUCUCUUUUUUAAUCAUACCUACUUUACAUUCAAAUCUCAUGUCUUGAUACAAAAACUAGAAUAGUUCAGCAGGGCCAAAGUUGACUAAGAAGAUCAGAAACUUAAAAGCUUUUUUUUUUUUUUAUCUAAAGAUGCUAUCGAAAAUGGUGAGUGCCGAGUCCUAAUUAAACAAACUAAUUUCAGCAUUGGGAGGAGCUGCCACCUUAAAGUCAAGGCUGCAAAAUGUGUAUGGGAUUACAACCUCUAAUCUAGUCAAAGAAAAGGAAGAAGAGGAUAGUGAACCAAACAUGUCAAAAGCAUUGAACUAUGUCUCUGUAGGUGGUGAACUUCUCAAACGUACAAGGAAAGGUAUCUACUGCCAGCAUAAAACAUUCUUAUUCUGCUCACUACUAUAUAUCGGAAUUACUUGUCGUUGAUACUCACUGAUGCAUUACAUUGAUGUAGGAGAUCUUCACUGGAAGCAAGUAUCAUUCAACAUUAAUUCAAAUUGGCAGGUAAAGAAGUCGGCAACACUGAACAAAUCCAUGUGAUUAUUUCAUUUAAAGGAACAAAUGUAAAAUGGAUAUGUCCAGUGGGAAAUAGUACUUUCAUCUUAUUGUCUAUUGAAUAUAUCAGCUAUUGGUAUAAUAAAAAAUCAUGAAUAAAAGCAGUUGGUAGCUAAAAUGAAAAGCAAGCACAUAGCAGGAACAUUCACCAAAAAGAAGAAGUGUAAGCUAAGUCAAACCCAAAUUCCUUAUUACCUGUUUCUGCACCAACUUAGUUGCGCCACACUGGACUUGCAGGUGUAGUUUCUGGAGUCUACUGUGACAUCCCAGCAUGGUCUGGAACGGAGAAAGAACAGAGCAAUGAACAGAGAGCAUACUUCGGGAUAAAACAGUAGAGAGAAUAUAGAAUUUGAAUGCAAAACGAUGAUGAUAAAGAUGUGGAUUGAGGGAUUCAAUACAUGCUGAACUAUAGUGGUAAUGGGAUCCAGUUUACUAAGACAACAUUUGGAUUGCCAGGAAACUAGAGUUUAAGUUAAGCAAGGAUGGGGACGCGUAUAUUCCAAAAUUUCUAGAUAAAUAUUGUGUGAAGGGUAAGACUUCAUAUAAAAGCUGUCAGUAAUAUGCAGACUGAAAAGAGACUAUAAAAGGGGAUCAUGUCAUUCUGUCAAGCUCUCUUAUGGGAAGACAUGGAUGAUAAAACUAUACAACAUCAUCUAAAAAUUAACCCUUCAUAAUAGUAAGUUUACUAAGAUGGGCUUCCCCUUAUAAUAGUUUUUUGUCAUUUCUUUUGCUUUAACAAGGCCAUAUUAGCUAAGCAAGUUUGACAGGUAACUGCAAACCAGUAUUCACUUGUUUUUAAAAUUCUACAAGAAGAUUUUCUAACUACUUUCUUUGGGACAUUGCCCUUGUUAUACACGGCUAAGUUCCCUAGUGGGUAGAGAAUUGCUGAGGGAUUGGUUGAAACGGCGGAUAGAAAUGACUGCAAAGUAAAAAGUUGGGAGGAAAAUUGGUUGCCAAAUCAAACUGGAAACAAAAUAUCGUUUCCUCGGCCAUUGCUUACACCAGCGGACAAGGUUACUGUACUACAGGAAAAAUGUUCUUGGUUGGAAUAACAAGUUGAUCCACCAACUAUCUUUUUAAGAAAGCACCGGACAUUGUUUGAAUACCUUUAAAUUAAAGGCUAGCACCCAAUAUGCCUACGUACAAGUAUGAGCAGAAUGGAUGGUACAUGGUUAAAUCCAUUUGUAUAAGGGCUUGGAAAUAACAACUAGCCUCCUGUGUCGCUUCCUCAACUUGUGGUUCUAUUAUUGAUCAGAAGAAACUUUGGAUUGAAAAUAAUGUGCCAAGAGUUAAAAAACUUGAAGCAGAAACUAGUUAAAGACUUUAAAUAUAUGCUUUAUGUGUUAGGAGUCUAAAGAAACUGUUGAUCAUUUACUUGGACUAUGUGUAUAUACUGUUGAGUUUUGAAUAGAGAUAAAAUUAAUUGUAUAAAUUAAUUCAAUUCUAAAUUAAUUAAUAGAAACUAAUAAUCAUAAUUUUAAGUUAAAUUGAUAUAUAACAAAGGAAAAAUAAUAAGCAAAUAAUAAUCGUAAAAUUAAAUAUACAUAAGAUUUUACGUGAAUAACCUUUUAUUGCGAAAGAAAAAACUAUAGAUUAAGUUCUAAAUCAAAUCAACUAUUAAAGAAAAUUAUUAUAAGAUAAUACAUAAAAAAUUAAAUCUAAAAUAAAAAGAACAAUAUUUUUUUUUGUGCAGAACUGAGAGAAAAAAAAAUAAGGAGAAAAAAAAAUUAAAAUUAAACUUCCCUAAAGAAGGACGAAAUUGCAAAUGUCGACGAUUAUGUCACAAGGGAGAGAGAAUAGAAGCCACCUAUAUAUAUGUAUAUAUAUAAAAUAGAAGCCACCUAUAUGUAUGUGUAUAUAUAUAUAUAUAUACUUCCUUUUAUCCUCUUGCCGCACAACCUCUCUUCUCUUUCUCUUUUAAAUAUGUUUUUUUGUGUGCAACACAUAUAUAUAUAUACCCCAAAAACACUUCGGCCCUAAUUCUAUUUUUUCUUUUCUUUUUAAUUACUUAGGCUGGAUACAUAAUGAACAAUCUCCUCUUCCAACCCAUGAGGAGACGUCCACCAUACAUUGCUCAAUGUCCAAUCAGUCCCACAUUCUUGGUGCAAGACUAAUGCUUGUCACGAGUCAGUACCUUAGUCAAUAUGUCAACUAGAUUUUUAUCAGUGUGAAUCUUUUUCAAUAGCAUAUCUUUAUUAUUCACCGCAUUUCGUAUCCAAUGGUAUCUCAUAUCAAUAUUCCUUAGUACAAUAAUGAUAUAUGAUAUUCUUACUCAAAUCUAGAGUACUUUAACUAUCACAAUUCAUCACAUACUCAUAUUGCUUUAAACCCAACUCUUCGAGAAAUCUUUUCAUCCAGAGCAUUUCUUUACCUACUUUAGUCAAAGCUACAUACUCUGCCUCAGUUAUAGAUAAGAUAAUACUUUUUUACAAUUUAGAUUGCCGUGAUACAGCUCCCCCUGCAAAAGUAAACACAUACCAUAAAGUAGACUUUCUGUUAUCACGAUCACCUGCCAUAUCUGUAUCUGUAUAUCUCUCUAGAAUUGGUUCUGAACCUCUAAAACACAAACACAUAUUAGAAGUACUUCUCAUACAUCUAAAAAUUCAUUUUACUACUUCCUAAUGACUCUUACUAGGGUUAGAAAGAAAUCUGCUUACCAAACCAACAACAUGAGCAUUAUCUGGUCGAGUGCAAAUCAUACAUACAUUAAACUCCCAACUGCAAAGGAGUAAGGAAUGACUGACAUUUCUUCUUUUUCUUUUUGAGUAGCAAGACAUAAUUUCUUACUAAGUGUGAAGUGGUUAGCAAGUGAUGUGCUAACUGGCUUAGCAUUUUUCAUAUAAAAUCUGUUUAGAACAUGUUUAACAUAUCUUUCUUGUGACAGCUAUAACUUUUUAGUUUCCUUAUCACGUGUAAUCUACAUACCAAAAAUCUAUCGUGCUAGUCCCAAAUAUUUCAUAUAAAAAAAGUAAAACAAUUUUUUUUUUCAAACCACUAAUCUCUGAAGUAUCUUGUCCUAUUAUCAACAUAUCAUCAACAUAAAACAGUAGAAUGACAAAUUUACCAUAUGAGAAUGUCUUGAAGUACACAUAAUGAUUUGCAUCUAUUCUUGUGUAGCCAUGAUUGACCAUGAAAGAAUCAAAUUUCUUGUGUCCCUAUCUCGGAGCCUAUUUCAAUUCAUACAAACUCUUUUUCAACCUGCAAACCAUGUGUUCUUUCCUUUUGACUUCAAAUCCCUCUAGUUGAUGCAUGUAGAUUUCUUAUUCCAAGUCACCAUGAAGGAAUGCUGUUUUUACAUCCAGUUGUUCUAGGUCAAGAUCUAAACAAGCAAUCAAACUAAGAAUUACCUGAAUAGAGCUCAUCUUCACAACAGGAGAAAAUAUCUCAUCAAAGUCAAUUCUUUUCUUCUGAUUGAAACUUUUUACUACCAAUCAAGUCUUAUGUAUCUCCAUCACUAGCUUCUCACCAUCCAUCUUAAGCUUGUAUAUCCACUUAUUUUUUAAAGAUUUUCCACAUUUUGAAAGUUCAACUAACUCAUGAGUAUUAUUAUUCUUUAAGAGCUUAUCUUUUCUUUCAUUACUUUCAACCAUUGAGUCUUUCUUGAUGGUUUAAACUUCUUCAAAGCUUUUUGGCUCCCCUCUUCAAUAACUGUAAUAUACUCAGAACUAGGAUAUCUGGUAGAAGGAUGAUGUGUUCUAAUCGAUCUUCUAAGUUGAGGUUCUUCUGUAACCUGAUAUGCAAGGGGUUGCUCCUCAUGCUCAACAUCAUCUGGUGCUGACAUAUUAUCAAACCCUUGAUCAUCACGUAACUCUUCCUCAUCUGUGGCAUCUCUUAUUGAAGGAGAAAUUAGUGCAUGAAAAGGAGUUUCUUUACUUAUAAUCUUCUCCGAUGUCUUAAAGUCUGAUAAGAUCUUGUGCUCAUAAAAAAUUACAUCUCUGGACCUGACGACUUUCUUUUUUACUGGAUCUCAUAAUCUGUACCCAAAUUCUGUAUCUCUAUAAUCCAGAAGAACACAUAAAACUUUCAUGUCAUCAAUCUUCUAUCUUUGUUCCUUAGGUACAUGCCUAAAUGCUUUGCAGCCAAAUACUUUCAAAUGAGAAUAACUGAUGUCCUUUCCAGACCAUACUCUUUGAGGAAUAUCAAAAUCUAAAGGAGUUGAUGGAGAUCAAAGCAUCACGUAGUAGACAGUAUAGAGUGCUCACCCCAAAAUGGUUUUGGUAAAUUAGCCAUUUUCAAUAUAUAUAUAUAACUUUUUCAAGGGGGGUUCUAUUUGUUCUUUCAGCUACAUUAUUAUGCUGAGGAGUACCAGACACUAUCUUCUCAUGUCUAAUUCCAUGCUAUAAGCAGUAAUUCUCAAACUCCUUUGAAGUGUAUUCACUAUCAUUGUCAUUGCGAAGAUACUUUAAGGAAGUUCAUUUCUCUCUUUUCAUCAUGAUAUGAAAUUACUUAAAAUAUUGAAAAAUUUGAUCUUUUGUUUUCAACACAAACACCCAAACCUUUCAUGAGACAUCAUCAAUAAAAGUAAAAAAAUAUCUGUUACCUCCAAUUGUUUCCACAUCAAUAGGACCACACACAUCAGAGUAAACUANNNNNNNNNNNNNNNNNNNNNNNNNNNNNNNNNNNNNNNNNNNNNNNNNNNNNNNNNNNNNNNNNNNNNNNNNNNNNNNNNNNNNNNNNNNNNNNNNNNNNNNNNNNNNNNNNNNNNNNNNNNNNNNNNNNNNNNNNNNNNNNNNNNNNNNNNNNNNNNNNNNNNNNNNNNNNNNNNNNNNNNNNNNNNNNNNNNNNNNNNNNNNNNNNNNNNNNNNNNNNNNNNNNNNNNNNNNNNNNNNNNNNNNNNNNNNNNNNNNNNNNNNNNNNNNNNNNNNNNNNNNNNNNNNNNNNNNNNNNNNNNNNNNNNNNNNNNNNNNNNNNNNNNNNNNNNNNNNNNNNNNNNNNNNNNNNNNNNNNNNNNNNNNNNNNNNNNNNNNNNNNNNNNNNNNNNNNNNNNNNNNNNNNNNNNNNNNNNNNNNNNNNNNNNNNNNNNNNNNNNNNNNNNNNNNNNNNNNNNNNNNNNNNNNNNNNNNNNNNNNNNNNNNNNNNNNNNNNNNNNNNNNNNNNNNNNNNNNNNNNNNNNNNNNNNNNNNNNNNNNNNNNNNNNNNNNNNNNNNNNNNNNNNNNNNNNNNNNNNNNNNNNNNNNNNNNNNNNNNNNNNNNNNNNNNNNNNNNNNNNNNNNNNNNNNNNNNNNNNNNNNNNNNNNNNNNNNNNNNNNNNNNNNNNNNNNNNNNNNNNNNNNNNNNNNNNNNNNNNNNNNNNNNNNNNNNNNNNNNNNNNNNNNNNNNNNNNNNNNNNNNNNNNNNNNNNNNNNNNNNNNNNNNNNNNNNNNNNNNNNNNNNNNNNNNNNNNNNNNNNNNNNNNNNNNNNNNNNNNNNNNNNNNNNNNNNNNNNNNNNNNNNNNNNNNNNNNNNNNNNNNNNNNNNNNNNNNNNNNNNNNNNNNNNNNNNNNNNNNNNAAAAGGAGGAAAUUACUGAUGUCGGCGAUGAUAUCACGAGGGAGAGAGA